UAGAAGUGGCAGAGACAGGAAUGGAGACAAGGCGGCGGAGGCGGGAGGCGGGAAGGAAUCCCAGCUGCA
RNAcentral lists this small RNA (69 nucleotides) under Myotis lucifugus (little brown bat). RNAcentral describes it as "GRIK4 3 prime UTR element (ENSMLUG00000023518.1)". Lineage: Eukaryota; Metazoa; Chordata; Mammalia; Chiroptera; Vespertilionidae. The record is from RNAcentral.